Oryzias melastigma (Indian medaka) is the source of this 1031-nucleotide non-coding RNA. Lineage: Eukaryota; Metazoa; Chordata; Actinopteri; Beloniformes; Adrianichthyidae. The record is from the annotation of a RefSeq genome assembly.
CAAUAUUUCAGAAUCCCAUCUGGAAUCUCUGCUGGAUCCAUGUGUGAGAAUCCUGAUGACAGAGAUCCAUGUUCCUGUUGGAGUCAGUGGUUGCAUUUCCAUAGAAACACUUUGCAUCAGCAGCUCCAUGCUCCAGUGCUCUGGGAGACUUUAUAGUCCUGAGAGUUGAAGACUGGAUGACUGACAGCUGUCCUUCAUCACAGCAGAAGACACAGAAAUCCUCCUCCUCCUCCUCAUCACUAAAAGCAUGACUUUGAUCUGCGUCCUCAUCUGGACUCUCCUCUGCUUCAUUCAGGGUUCUGUUGGACAAAAUGUUGUUGUGACUCAGUUAGCAGCUAAAUCAGUGCAGCUCGGUCAAACCGUCUCUAUUGACUGUAAGGCCAAUAAACAAGUAUAUUACUUUUCUGGUUCUCAAUACUAUCUUGCCUGGUACCAACUGAAAACUGGAAAAGCUCCUAAACUUCUGAUCUACAGAACAAAAUACAGUUUUUCAGGAGUCUCCUCCAGAUUUAGUGGAACAGGAAAUGGAAUUGACUUCACUCUGACCAUCAGUCGAGUCCAGGCUGAAGAUUCAGGAGUUUAUUAUUGUCAGAGUUUUCACGAGAUCAACAGUCAGAAUGUGUUCACACAGUGAAAAGUCGUCGUACAAAAACCUCCUUCAUCAGAAUGAACUGAAACUCAUUUGAAUGUUUCUGCCUCAAGUUCUUCCAGAAACUGAUUUGCUGUUUUAGAAAGACACAAUUCAAAAAAAGAAAAACAGAACAAUAUAAUAGUCAGAAAUCCCCCCCCCAAUCGUCCUUUUUUUCUCAUAAAGGUAUAAAAAGUAAAUAAAAUAAAAAACAUUUCGAUUUUUUACUUUCUAGCAAGACGCCUUCCCCCUCCUCAAAGGAUUACCAAGACCUUCUCCAAAAGAUUACAGCGCUGGUAAAGAUGCCACAUAGAAGUGAAUGUUGUGGUAAAUGGAUUUCAUGGAAACAAUACAACUUUGCCACUAGUAGAAAGCUAACACUCAGCUAAAAGAAACAGAUACC